RNAcentral lists this long non-coding RNA (507 nucleotides) under Homo sapiens (human). RNAcentral's name for it is "HSALNT0360579". Lineage: Eukaryota; Metazoa; Chordata; Mammalia; Primates; Hominidae. The record is from RNAcentral.
CCGCAUUAAAACUGUCCCCUGAAAGGGAUAUGAUCUAGCCAAGGCUGUGACACAAGAGACAUACACAUUCACCCUGUCAGCGCGUGCAGAGCAGCUGUGAUGGCUGCAUCGUGUUGCUGGAAGCAGGCCAGUGUUACCAUGUUCCUGGGCGUGCAGCUGCUGAGCAGGCAGCAUGGAGGCCGCCCUGGCUGCAGGGGACCCUUAGCCUGAGGAUCCUGCCCCAAGUUGCUGAUGCCAACAGCCAGCCCUUGCCAGAUGUCUUAUGUCUGACUCUUGGGUGUUUAGGCAGCAUAACAGUGAAAUUGAUAAUAACUAUGGAUAUCAAUUUUGAGUGUGUAAUUUUAACCAGAGCAAACCUUUAUUGAUCUCUUACUCUGUUCUCAGGCCUUCUCAUGCAUCUUACUUAAUUCUCUCAGUUCCCCAGGAGGCAGGGACUAACAUUAUCUUCUGUGUAGACCAGUGGGGAGCAACUCUGUGUGUGUGAGUGUAUGUGUGUGUGUGUGUGUG